Molecule: ribosomal RNA, 253 nt
Filed under: uncultured bacterium
Lineage: Bacteria
Description: partial 16S ribosomal RNA
Rfam family: Bacterial small subunit ribosomal RNA
Source: RNAcentral
CACGUAGGACGCGAGCGUUAUCCGGAGUUACUGGGCGUAAAGCGCGGGCAAGCGGUCUGACAAGUCUGAUGUGAAAUCUCCGGGCUCAACCGGGAGAGGCCAUUGGAAACUGACAGGCUGGAGGGCAGUAGAGGUAGGCGGAAUUCCGGGUGGAGUGGUGAAAUGCGUAGAGAUCCGGAGGAACACCAGAGGCGAAGGCGGCCUACUGGGCUGCACCUGACGCUGAGCCGCGAAAGCCAGGGGAGCGAACGGG